UACGUAGGGAGCAAGCGUUGUUCGGAUUUACUGGGCGUAAAGCGUGCGCAGGCGGUUUUGUAAGCCAGAUGUGAAAUCCCCGGGCUUAACCUGGGAAUGGCAUUUGGGACUGCAAGGCUGGAGUACGGCAGAGGGAGGUGGAAUUCCACGUGUAGCAGUGAAAUGCGUAGAGAUGUGGAGGAACACCGAUGGCGAAGGCAGCCUCCUGGGCUAGUACUGACGCUCAUGCACGAAAGCGUGGGGAGCAAACAGG
Molecule: ribosomal RNA, 253 nt
Filed under: uncultured bacterium
Lineage: Bacteria
Description: partial 16S ribosomal RNA
Rfam family: Bacterial small subunit ribosomal RNA
Source: RNAcentral